Molecule: long non-coding RNA, 11891 nt
Organism: Homo sapiens (human)
Lineage: Eukaryota; Metazoa; Chordata; Mammalia; Primates; Hominidae
Exons: 2
Source: RefSeq, a predicted model, not a curated record
AAUAUCUUUUCCCAUCCCUUUAUUGUCAGUAUAUAUGUGUCUUUAUAGGUGAAGUAUGUUUCUUGUUGACAACAGAUUAGGGUCUUGUUUUUGCAUCCAUUCAGCCAGUCUAUGUCUUUUGGAGAGUUUAGUUCAUUUACAUUCAGUGUUAUUAUUGAUAAGUUAGGACUUACUCCUGGCAUUUUGUGAUUUGUUUUCUGGAUGUUUUAUGUCUUCUCUUUCUUCCUUUUUUCCUUCCUGUCUUCUUGUAGUUAAGGUGAUUUUCUCUGGUAAUAUGAUUUAGUUUAUUGCUUAUUUGUAUGUAUGCAUAGUAUGUUUUUUGCUUUGAGGUUACCAUGAGGCUUCUAAAUACUAUCUCAUAAUCCAUAAUUUUAACCUGAUAACACUAUUUGCAUAAACAAGCAAGCAAGCAAAAACAAAAAAGAUUAAAAACUUUAUGUCUUGACUUUAUCCCCCUACUCUUUAACUUUUUGUUGUUUCUAUUUGUAUCUUAUUGUACUAUGUCUUGAAAAGUUAUUGUAGUUAUUAUUUUUGAUUGAUUAAUCAUUUAAUCUUUCUACUUAGGACAACAGUAGUUUACACACCACAGUUACAGUAAUAUUUUAUGGUUUUCUGUGUACUUAAUAGAACCAGUGAGUUUUUUACCUUCAGGUGGUCACUUAUUGUUCAUUAAUGUCCUUUUCUUUCUGAUUGAAGUACUCCCUUUAGCAGUUUUUGUGGGACAACUCUGGUGUAGAUGAAAUCAUUCUGAUUUUCUUUGGGAGAGUCUUUACUUCUCCUUCAUGCUUGAAAGAUAUUUUCAGCAGACAUGCUCUUCUAGAGUAAAAGUGUUUUUCUUUCAGCACUUUAAAUAUUGCAUGCCAUUCUCUCCUAGCCUGUAAGGUUGCCACUGAAAAGUCUGUUUCAGACUUAUUGAAGCUCCAUUGUACAUUGUUUGUUUCUUUUCUCUUGCUGUUUUUGGGAUCCUUUCUUUAUCAUUGAUCUUUAGGAAUUUGAUUAUUAAAGGCCUUAAGGUAGUCUUCUCUGGGCAACAUCUGCUUGUUGUUCUGUAAUCUUCUUAUACUUAGAUACUGGUAUCGUUCUCUAGGUUUGGGAAAUUAUCUGUUACUAUAUCUUUGAAUGAACUUUCUACCCCUAUCUCUUUCUCUACCUCCAUGUUAAGGCCACUAACUCUUAGAUUUGCCCUUUUGAGGCUGUUUCCAGAUCCUGUAAGCAUGCUUCAUUUUUAUUAUUUUUUCUUCUGUCUCUUCUGUGUAUUUUCAAAUAGCCUGUCUUCAAGCUCACUAUUUCUUUCUUCUGCUUCAUUAAUUCUGCUAUUAAAGGACUCUAAUGCAUUCUUCAGUAUGCCUCUUACAUUUUUCAGCUCUAAAAUUUCUGCUUGAUUCACUUUCAUUAUUUUAAUCUCUUCAGUAAAUUUAUCUGAUAGAAUUCUGAAUUUCUUCUAGGCAUUAUCUUGAAUUUCUUUGAGUUUCCUUAACACUGCUAUUUUGAAUUCUCUGUCUGAAAGGUCACGUAUCUCUUUCUCCAGGAUUGGUUCCUGGUGCCUUAUUCAGUUCAUUUGGCGAGGUCAUGAUUUCCUGGAUGGUCUUGGUGAUUGUGGAUAUUCGUCAGUGUCUGGGCACUGAAGAGUUAGGUAUUUACUGUAGUCUUCACUGUCUGGGCUUAUUUGUACCCAUCCUUCUUGGGAUGGCUUUCCAGAUAUUUGAAAGGACUUGGGUGUUGUGAUCUAAGCUGUAUGUGCUUUAGGGGGCACCCUAAGUCCAGCAACUCUGUUUAUUGCUGACUCAUAGAGGGACUGCCUUGAUGGUCUUGGACAAGAUCUGAGAGAAUUCUCUGGAUUACCAGGCAGAAACUUUUAUUCUGUUCCCUUACUUUCUCCCAGAGUGUCUUUCCCUGCUCUGAGCCAUGUAAAGCUGGGGGUGGAGUGACACAAGCACCCCUGUGGCCACCACCACUAUGACUGCACUGAGUCAGACCUGAGGCCAGCGCAGCACUGGGUCUCACCCAAGGCCUGCUGUAACCACUCCCUAGCUACAGCUUAUGUUUGUUGAGGGCCCUGGGGCUCUACAAUUAGCCUCAGCUGGUGGCAAAGUAAACCAGGCCUAUGUCCUUUCCUUCAGGGCAGCAAGGUCCCCAGGUCCUGGGUGGGUCCAGAGAUGCCUUUCUAGAGCCAGAAACUAUAGUCAAGAACCUUAGAAGUCUCCCUGCUAUUCUAUUGUACUGCAGCUGAGUGGUACUCAAACUACAAAACAUAGUCCUUCCCAUUCUUCCCACCCCUUUCCAAAGGCAGAGGAGUCUUACCCCAUAGCCACUGCCACCCCAGACCACUGUGAGUUCAAUGACUCACAAUUACUGCAUUCUCCCUCCUCUAGUGCCUGGAGAGGCACUCUGCAUUACUGCCAGACUGGCUAGCCAAUGUUCCCAUAAGGGCCAAAGUCUCUUAACUCAGCAUGUGGUAAAUACUGCAUGGCCUGGGACACACCCUUCAGGACAGUGGGCUUCUCUUUGGCCCAGGGCAGGUCCAUAAAUGCUAUGACUCAAAUCCUGGAAUUAGCGACCCCCAAAAGCCUGCUUGUUGCUCUUCACCCCUGUAGCUGUGCUGCUACCUAAGAUGCAAGACGAAGUCCCCUUUACUCUUCCCUCUGCUUUUCUCAAGCAGAAGAAAUUUUGCCCCAUAGGCACCACAUCUGGUAAUGUCCUGAGUCUCAUCUGAAGCCAAUAAGUCUCAGAUACUCACCCCAGGCCAUUAAUGUAGUACCUGGGUAUAACUGCUGGUUAUUCAGGGCCUAAGGGCUUUUCAGUUAGCAGAUGAUGAAUGCUGUCAGGACUAGGGUCUUUCCUUCAAGACAGUGGGUUCCCUUCUGGCCCAGAGUGUGCCUAGAAAUGUUGUCUGGAAGCUAGGCUUUGGAAUGGAGGCCUCAUGAGUCUGACAGGUACCCUAUCUUGCUGUGGCUGAGCUGGUAUCCAAGAUGCAAGAAAAUGUCCUCCCUACUCUUCCCUCUUCUUUCCUCAAGCAGAAGGAAGCGGUCUCUUUUGGAACCACAAGCUGGUCAGCCUUGCCUUAGGGGAGAGGUGAUGCCAGCACUCCCUUAGCUGCCUUAGCUUGUGUCACAGUAGAUCACGUGCCCCUCCCUUCCAUCCAAGUUCACUGUCUCUGUGCCUAGUUCAGCACUAGGAGUUGCCUAAGAUUUGCAGAUCCUAAGGCCUAGACUGCCUUUCAAGUUUACUUGGAGACACAGAGUACUGUAGACCUUGACAGCAAGGAUUGACAGAACUCAAGUAUCAACUACUAGGAUCAGUGAUUCCCAUCUGGCUAAGGCCGGUUUAAAUGCUCCCUUUCUGGGAAGGCAUCAGCUGAAUUUGAUCUGGUUUUCCUUUCUGCUCUAACAGAACAGCACUGAGUUCAAUGCCUCAGAAAGCCUGUGUUCUCCCUCUCGCAGCACCCAGAGAGGUUCUCUGCACCACAGGGCCACUGCUGGGGUAGGGGAGGGAUAGCCUCAGUGAUUCUGGACUGUUCUAUGUCUCAGUGCCUCUUUCAGUGAUAUGAAGUUAAAACUGGGUACUAAGAGUGUUCAUCUGAUUUUUUGUUCUUAUGAAGGUUUUUUUUCUGCAUAGCUAGUUGUUAACUUGGUGUCCUUGUAGUGGGAACAAUCAGUAGAGCCUUCUAUUCUGUCAUCUUGCUCCACCUCUCUAUGCUGUUGUUUUAAAUAUAACUAUAAAGCAAAGUACUCCUAAAGUAAGAGUCAGUGCCUUGAAAAUAAGUACAUAAUAAUUAUUGUAUUUUAAUGUUUUAAAUGUUUUACAGACUAACUGAAAAUAGCAGAAAAUGACAAAAAUUUCCUUUUUCCAUAUCUUUCCUACAAUCAAAUUCCUCUUGUUCUGUCUUGCAGUGUUUUAGUUCUGUGAACUUUUACUUCCUUUCCUUUUUAAUAAGCAGGAUCUUUUUCAAUUACACUUAUUAUUUUUUAAUAAUUACAGAUUAUCAUGGUGUUGUCACAGAUAGUACAAAAAUAUUUCAUGUACACUUUGCCCAGUUUCCACAGUGGUAAAACUUUCAAAACAAUAGUAAAGCGUCACAAUCAGGGUAUUUACUUUGAUACAAUCAAAAGACAGAACAUUACCAUCACCAUAUGGAUUACUCAUUUUUUUCUUCUUUUUAUAGCCACGCUAAUUUUCCUUUUUCCUCUCCUUCAUUCUACUUACUUAAAGCUUGAAAACCAAUAAUCUGUUCUCCAUUCACUAUUUUUUUUUAAUUUCAAGCAUAUCAUUUAAAUGCAUUCAUGUAGUAUAUAAUAUUUGGAGAUUGGCUUUUUUUCACUCAUCAUUUUAUUUAGGAAUUUAUCCAAAUUUCUGUGCAUUUCAACAUUUUGGUCUUUUGUAUUGUUGCUUAGUAUUGCAUCACAUGGCUGUUUCAAAGUUUGUCUAAUUAUUCACCCACUGGAAGACAUUUGGAUUGUUUCCACUUUGGGGCUAUUAUGAAUAAAACUGCUAUCAACAUUUAUGUAUAGGUUUUUCUGUCAAGAUAAAAUUUUAUUUCUCCAUUGUAUAUUUAAUUUUUUAAGAAACUGACAGUUUUUCAGAGUAGCUGUACCAUUUCACAUGUGCCCGUUUCACCACUUCCUUAUCAGCAUUUGGUGUUGUCACUACUUUUUACUAUAAUUUUUCUGAUAGGUGUGUAGUGAUAAACAACUGUGAUUUUUAUUCGUAUUUCUGUAAUGGUUAAUGAUGUUGAACACCUAUUCAUGUGCUUAUUUGUCAUCUGUAUGUCCUCUUCAGUGAAAUAACUGUUCAUUAUUUUGCCAUUUUCUAAUGGGAUUUUUAAAAAUGUGUUGUUUGUUUUUGUUUCUUAGUGUUGACUUUUGAUAGUUUCUUAUAUAUUAUAAACACUAGGCCUUUGUCAGCUAUAUAAUUUGCAACUAUUUUCUUUCAGUCUGUAGUUUGGUUUUUCAUUUUCUUAACAGGGUCUUUCAUGGAGCAAAAGUACUUUGGUGAAGUCCAAUUUAUAAAAAAUUUGCUUAUGUGAAUUGUACUUUUGAUGUUAAGAACUCUUUGCCUAGCCAUAGAUUCUGAGGAUUUUCUGUUUCUUUCUAAAAGCUUUACAGUUUUAUAUACUACAUUAAGUCUGUGAUCCAUGUUGAGUGAGUUUUUAUAUGAAGUGUGAGAUUUAAGUCUUAAGUCAAGGUUUUGUUGUAUUUUUCUUUUGCCUAGCAAUGACCCAUGGCUGAAAUGGCUUUCAAUAUUCUAAGAAAUUGCUUUUGCACAUUUAACAAAAAUCAGAUACUCCACUCAGAAUAAGUGGAGUUAUUUCUGAGUUUGCUAUUUCUUUUGAUCUACCUGUCUAUUUAUCUGCCAAUACAACUAGAAUCUUGAUAGCUAUAGAUAUAUAAUAAAUCUGGAUAUUGGCUAAACUAUUUAUCUCACUUUAUUUUUUCAAAAUUGUUUUAGCUAUUUGAAUCAUUUGAUUUUCCAUAUAAAUUUAAACAAUCUUGUCUAUAUCUACAAAAAACUCUUGCUGAGAUUUUAUAGGUAUUGUAGUAAACCUGUUUAUGAAUUGGAAGAUAUUUGACAUCUUUAUUAUUUUGAGCCUUCCAAUCCAUGAACACUGUACAUCUUUCCAUUUGUUUACAUCUUCCUUGACUUCUUUCAUCAGCGUAUUCUAAUUUUCAGUAUGCGAGACCUAUACAUAUUUUGAUAUAAUUGCACCUAGAUAUUUCAUUUUAUUUUUAGUUAUUUUACACAGUAUUGCAUCCUUAAUUUCAGUGACCAUGUUUUCUAAUACACAGAAAUUAAACUGAUUUUUUAUGUCUAUCUAUUUUAUGUUCUGUAUGUCUUCCAAUGUUAGUGGAUGCAUCUAUUUAUUCUCAAAUGAUGUUUAUAGAUUCCUUGCAAUCUAAAAAAUCUAUGUUUGCCUGCAAACAGGAAGUUUUCUAUUCAAUUUUUGUAUAAAAUUAUUAUUAUUUACCUGAUUAUAUUAUCCCAGAACUUUAGUGAAAUGUUGAACAAGAGUGGAGAGAGCAUGUAUUUUUGCCUUGUUUUUAUCCUAAAGAAGGCUAAUUGUCUAUUUUUGUUGUUGUUGUUUGUGUUUCUGCUGUCUCAAUUUAAAAAGCAAUAACCUAAUGUAAGGUUAUAAAUAUUUAUUUCUGCAUUUUCUUCUAAAAAUUGUAUGGUUUUAUUGUUUACAUUUCCAUCUCUGAUCCAUUUUGAGUUAUGUUUUGUAUAAUACAUUUGAUAGAGAUUCAGUUGUGUUGUUUUCCAUGUGAAUAUCCAUUUCAUUUGUCCCAGCAUCAUUUUGGAAAAGGCUGUGUUUCCCCAAUUGUGUUGUCUUGGCAUCUUUCUCAAAAAUCAAUUGACUGUUAAUGUAAGGUUUAUUUCUGAAUUAUCAGUCAUAUUUCAUAGAUUUUUAUGUCUAUCCUUAUGUCAGGAAAUGUUAUUUUUAUUAUUGUAGCUUUGUAGUAGAUUUUGAAAUCAGAAAAUGUAAGACUUUCAACUUUUAUUUAUCAAGGUUGUUUUGGUUAUUCUGGAUCCUUUGCAUUUCCAUAUGAAUUCUAGGAUUAGCCUAUACAUUUCUGGGGGGAAAAGGCAGCUAGAAUUUUGAUUGGGUUUGUGUUGAAUCUAUAGUUCAAUUUGAAGAGUAUUUAAUCGCAAGAACAUUAAGUUUUUCAAUUCAUGGAAUAGGAUGUCCUCCAGUUAUUUAGAUAUUUCUUAAUUACUUUUAGUAAUAUUUUGUGGUUUUUAAUGCUAAAAUUUUAUACUUUGUCAAAUUUAUUCUUAAAUAUAUUAUCAUUUUGAUAAUUCUGUGAAUAAGUUGCUUUCUUAAUUUUAGUUUUCAAUUGUUAAUUGCUAAUGUGUGUCUGCAAAAUUGACUUUUUAUAGUGAUCUUGGACCUGCAACCUUGAUUAGCUAUUUUUUAAUUUUAACUUUUUAAAUGUGUGAAUUACUUAGGGUUUUUUAAUAUAAAUAAUCAUUUCAUCUGUGGAGAAAAAAAUUUACUUUUUCCUUUUUUAUCAGAAUGCCAAUUAUAAUUUUUUAUCUUAACUAAUUGCUCUGGCUAGAACUCCUAGUGCAAUGUUGAAUAGAAAUAAAAAACAGUAGAUGUAUUUGUUUUGUUUCUGAUAUAAGGAGAAAGCAUUGUCUUCAUUAAAUAUGAUGUUAGCUGUGAGUUUUUCAUAGAUAUACUUAAGAUGAUGAGAUCAUUUCUUUCUACUUCUAGUAUGUUGAGUGUUUUUAUCAUAAACACAUAAUGGAUUUUAUUAAGUAAUUUUUUUUACAUCUAUUCAGAUGAUCAUAUGCUUUUGUUCUUUAUUCUGUUAACAUGCUAUUUUACAAUAAUUGAUUUUCAGAUAUUAAUCCAACCAUAGAUUAUUUUGAUAAGUCAAACCAGGUCAUGAUGUAUAAUCUGACUUUCUAUUUAUAUUUUUGUCCUUCAUUUGUUUCUCAGACUAAAUAAUCUCCACUGACCUAUCUUCUAGUGCGCUGUGCCUUUCUUUUCGCAGUUCAAGUCUGGUUGUGAUUGCCUCUAGUGAAUUCUCUUUCAUUUCAGUAAUUAUACUUUUCAAUUUCUGAAUUUUAACUAGGUUCUUUUUUAAUAAUUUCUAUCUCAUUGAUGUUUGGUGGCACAUUAUUCUCAUACUUGUGUUUAAUUACAUGUGUUUUUCUUUACUGUUUUCAGGAUAUUUAUUAUGGUUGAUUUAAAGUGUAUUUCAGAUAAGUCUAACAUCUGGAUUUCCUCAGAUACACGAUCUAUUGCUUCUUUUUUGUCUGUGUAUGAGCUAUACUAAUUUCCUAUUUUUUACAUGCGUCAUAAUUUUGUGUUAAAAACUAGACAUUCAAAUAUGGAUAUCUAGUGGCAAAUUCAGAAUAGUUUUCCACCAAACCAAGAUGUGCUGUUUUUAUUUGUUGUUGUUACUGUUGUUGCUGUUUGUUUGUAUAAUGACUUUAUUAAUUUUGUAAAGUAUGUUGUAUUCUUUUUCAUGUGUGAACACUUAUGUCUUUCUUGGCCACUUUAUUCAUCACCAAAUGAUUGGACAAAGAUUUCCUUAAGUGCCUUGAACAAAUAAAUCUCCCAACCUUUGUCAAAGGACCCCUGUUUAUAUUGGGAGAAUCUUUCGACACUCCAGUGGACAGUUUACAUCUCUAGUUUUGCCUUCACUCCCUGGUUACAUCAAGCCUUAUCCUCAGCCAGCUGUGAGAGAUUAGGGCCCUCUUAGGUCUUUCCUAAGUGUAUUCACAACCCUAAUCAUAUGCAUAAUUUUUUUAGGUUUCCAUGAGUGUAUUAGUUUUUAUUUUUAAGGGUAUUUUAUUUUUCUAAAACAGCUUCUUGUUAGUCACAACUGGAAUCUCCACUGAAGGCAGCUGCAAUAUUAAGCAAUUGCCUCUGAUGGGUUGUGCUAGUUGCACAAAGCAAGCUCUGAAUCAGCUCAAAUAAAGACAAAUGUCGACAGUAGAGCUUUUUAUGCGACUUUCAGAUGGGCUAAAUAGUGACAAUUUUCUGGGAAUGGGACUUUCUCCAAACACAUUCUGCCCUUACAGUGACUUCUAGGAUGCUCGUUUUCACAACUCCUGUAUUUGCAAAGUUAUGGUUUUCAAGGCUACGUGGAACUGGAAAGAAGGGAAUAAGAAUGGGACAAAGUAAAACACCACAAAACUCACUGUUCUUACUAAGAUACACACAUUUGUCUUGAAUAAUUAUUCCCCAGAUUGUUUCAACCCUUGGCUUAUUCCUAGAAUUCUUUAUUUUGAAAUUGAAUUCUAAAAAAAAAAUUGAUUUUAACAAUUUUUGCAAGUGCUCUCAUUUUUUUUAUUUUGGAGGAGUAGAUAUUGGAGGUUUUCAUUUUUUUUUAUUUCAGAUGUGCUUUUGUAUUUAGAUUAUUUUUAAUAACAGCCUUAAAUAUUUGUCAAUAUUUUCUUAAUUAAAUCUUGCUUUAAGUUGCUCAACUGCUGCCUAUAGAGUAGAACAAAAUACCUUAGUUAAAUAUUCAAAAUUUUCAAUAUUCUGACUCCAACCAAUCUUAAAAACUUAAUUCUAAAUAUUUCUUUCUUAUAUUAUACCUAACCCUCUCAGUCAGUCUGCUAAAAAUUCACUUAUUUACUUCAAACUUUAAAAAAAAGUUUUCUUUAGAAAAGUAAAGAUAUGUAUAUCUGGGAUGGACUUUGUAUCUGCCAUCUCUGUAUGGCCAAGCAAAGAUGCUAUCUAUUCUAUGAUCAUUUUAUUUAAUAACUCAGAAAGAAAUAUUAUCUUUUUUAAAUUCUUAAAGCAAUUAUUUUUAACAAAUAUAAUAUUUUCAAUUAUAUUCUUUGUCUUUAUAUGAAUUAGUAUUUUGUUAUAUUUCUUCUAUUAUAAGAAAAGCUCUUAGGAAAUAGGAUAAUAAUAAUAUAUGUAGCCUUGGAAAUAUGUCAGGCAUUCAAUAACUACUUCCUGAACGAUUAAACUGAUAAUGAAUGAAUGAAAAAAAUAUAAAUAAAUACUAUUCUCUUAUCACCAUUAAAUAAUUAUUUCUAAUUUUUAUUUUUCACCAGUAUUUCCUAAUGGCAUCUUUUGCAUGUAAUAACAGGAUAUUAAAUUACUAAUCAAAAAAGAAACUAUUUUAUAAUGUAUGAGUUGAAAGUUACAUUUGUUGGUAAUUUCCAAAUCUUUGAAAACAUUUUUAAUGUUUCAAGGGGUGACUGUACAAGGGCACUGACACUGAAAUAAUUUGAACCAAUUUUCUUCUAAUAUCAAAUGCUUAUAUUUGAUAUACAGUAGCUAGCAUAUUAAAAACCUCAGCUUAUAAUUUGUAUACCUAAUUUAUACUGACUAUAUCAGUGUUAUGGAUUCCUAACAAUAAACAUUCAUAAUCUAUAGGCUGAAAUAGAUUAGCUACUUUAUUUGUUGAUUGCAAAUAUGCAUUAAAAAGUCAAAAACAACUAUUUUGACAGAAUUUUUCUGUAUGACGUAGCAGAAAAAGAAUAUGGAUAAUACAAAUGCAUCAUCUAUCAAAUACAUAGCCAGAUAUCACCUAAAAGUACUUGCAUUCUGCUAAAAAUACACUAUUGUCCCUCUACUACGAGAAUGAAAUCCUGCUUUGGAAAAUCCUCUUAUCUUUCUCAAGAACCAUUUAGUAAUUUACUUUUAAGUAAUGGAAAGGAUAUGCUUUAAAGUUUCACUCCUAUUUUUAUUGCAAAAUAUAGAUAAAGAAAUAAUAUCUUGGCUGGAUUAGUAAUAAAAAUUAAUAAAAUUGGCUGAAUUAUUGCUUUGGUGUGACUGAUAUUAACUUGAGAUUUAUUGAGAUACCCUUGUAAUAUAAUUUAAAUUAAAGCAAUAUAGCUUAUUUUGUCAGUUAUACUUUCUUCUUUCCUUGAAUUUUUCCUUUGAGUAAAAAUUUGUUAAGGUUACAGCACAGCUUUUCUAUAUUUUUCCUCAUGAUAGGCAUUUUCUGAAAUGCUUAACAUUUUAUGAAAAGCAGCCUCAUACCAAUAUUUGUUUUCAUAGCCAGUCUCUACAACUGGAUGAAAAUGCAUCAAAUCCUUCUGUUCCCCUCAUUUGAAGAUGUCUGGACAUGAACACAUGCUCCCAAGAGAAUGAACUGAGGAUUUGUCUUUAUAAUCACUGUCUUGAUUCCAUGCUUCCUAUUUCUUCAUAAAAGUAGAGAGAGACAUUUAAGAGAGAGACAUGGAGUUGUAAAUAUUAUUCAAGAAGAAGAACGAAUUCUAAAGUCAUCCAGAAAACAGUGGGAGCUUCCCAGUCAAAAUUGCUUAAAUACUCAAUGCUCUGCAGCAUUUUUACAUUUUUUGCUGAGGUUUCCUCAAAACAUCUGUUCAGCUGAAUUUUGUUUGAAACCUUUUCCAGAAGAACCUAUAUCAACAAUAUUUCCUUAGUCCUCCCUCUCCUCCUCCCUUUGGACUUUAUACCUGAAGUACAUUAAAUAAGUUGAGGAAGAAAGAAGAGCAAUGGAAGUGAGAAUGUGAAUAAGAAUACCUACAAUAAUAAUGUGACAUAAGCUGUAGUUAGAAAAGUAUUAAAUGCUACACUUGAUAAACACCUGAAUUUUGGACAUGAAAUUCAUACGCACUAAAUAUCAUCAUUCUAGACAAUCUUUUAGGAUCCAGGGAUGAAGUAAAACUGUCUAUGUUAAUCUAUUUUAAAUGAUGCUACUCUAUGAGUUGUAAUUACAGGCUGUUUAUUCAUUCAACUAUUUACUCUGCAACAACGUAUGCCAAGCACGGUUCUUUGUGCAAAGAAAAUAGACAACAAUUUUCGUCCAUCUGGAGCUUACGGUUUCGUUAGUUCGAAGUAUUUGUGCUUCAGAAUAUAUCUUAACCUAAUCUUUGGACAUUCUGUUUUUCUGAGUCUGUGAUAGGCACUGAAUUUUAACAAAAUUUGUUUAUAUUUCUGCAACGUCUUUUAGUUAUAGAGAACUACAUAUGUCAUUAUUUGGCUCACUAAGUACUGUGUUUAAAAGAACAAUAAUGUCAAUUGUGUUUAUCAGGAAAUAUAUCAGUCAAUAACUAAAAUAUAGUUUACAAAUAAUGAUUAAGAUUCAUAAGAACCAUAAAUAUUGGAGCUAGCUUACCUGAAUUAGCCAAGAAUUUAAUUAACUCUAAUUCCUUACAGCUCUUAGGUAUUUUAUGUAGUAACAUGUUCUUUUGCCUUCAAAAGGCAAAGGAACAUUGUUUUUAAGUUGAAUUGGAGAUUAAGCAGACUUGUUUUACAUGAAAAUGUUCAAAUUCUAUUUAUAUAUUCUACAACAGCACUUUAUGUACAUCUGUAUCUUAGUUCUUGCUAUAUGCUACUGAAAUUGUCUAUUUCUGAGCCCAAUUCCCCAUCUGGAAUAUAAACUCUUUCAUGGAUACGGAUGUAUUAUCCCUUCAUCUUUAUAUCUACUAUGCUCAUUAAAGGAUCUGGCACAUCAUAA